Molecule: ribosomal RNA, 546 nt
Filed under: Limosilactobacillus fermentum
Lineage: Bacteria; Bacillati; Bacillota; Bacilli; Lactobacillales; Lactobacillaceae
Description: bacterial SSU rRNA
Rfam family: Bacterial small subunit ribosomal RNA
Source: RNAcentral
GGGCGCAGCCCUGGAUGGAGCACACCGCGUGAGUGAAGAAGGGUUUCGGCUCGUAAAGCUCUGUUGUUAAAGAAGAACACGUAUGAGAGUAACUGUUCAUACGUUGACGGUAUUUAACCAGAAAGUCACGGCUAACUACGUGCCAGCAGCCGCGGUAAUACGUAGGUGGCAAGCGUUAUCCGGAUUUAUUGGGCGUAAAGAGAGUGCAGGCGGUUUUCUAAGUCUGAUGUGAAAGCCUUCGGCUUAACCGGAGAAGUGCAUCGGAAACUGGAUAACUUGAGUGCAGAAGAGGGUAGUGGAACUCCAUGUGUAGCGGUGGAAUGCGUAGAUAUAUGGAAGAACACCAGUGGCGAAGGCGGCUACCUGGUCUGCAACUGACGCUGAGACUCGAAAGCAUGGGUAGCGAACAGGAUUAGAUACCCUGGUAGUCCAUGCCGUAAACGAUGAGUGCUAGGUGUUGGAGGGUUUCCGCCCUUCAGUGCCGGAGCUAACGCAUUAAGCACUCCGCCUGGGGAGUACGACCGCAAGGUUGAAACUCAAGAAAUU